GACGAACCGUGCGAACGUUGUUCGGAAUCACUGGGCUUAAAGGGCGCGUAGGCGGCAAUUCAAGUCCGGGGUGAAAUCCCCCAGCUCAACUGGGGAAGUGCCUUGGAUACUGAGUUGCUCGAGGGAGGUAGGGGUCGAGGGAACUUCUGGUGGAGCGGUGAAAUGCGUUGAUAUCAGAAGGAACGCCGGUGGCGAAAGCGCUCGACUGGAUCUCUUCUGACGCUGAGGCGCGAAAGCUAGGGGAGCAAACGGG
Molecule: unclassified non-coding RNA, 253 nt
Filed under: uncultured Planctomycetia bacterium
Lineage: Bacteria; Pseudomonadati; Planctomycetota; Planctomycetia
Description: contains 16S-23S intergenic spacer region
Rfam family: Bacterial small subunit ribosomal RNA
Source: RNAcentral